This 254-nucleotide unclassified non-coding RNA is filed under the name uncultured Acidimicrobiia bacterium. RNAcentral describes it as "contains 16S-23S intergenic spacer region". It matches the Rfam family "Bacterial small subunit ribosomal RNA", at positions 524 to 776 of the family's 1533-position model. The record is from RNAcentral. Lineage: Bacteria; Bacillati; Actinomycetota; Acidimicrobiia.
UACGUAGGGGGCAAGCGUUGUCCGGAUUUAUUGGGCGUAAAGAGCGCGUAGGUGGCUCGACAAGUCGGAUGUGAAAACUCCAGGCUCAACCUGGAGACGCCACUCGAUACUGUCGUGGCUAGAGUUCGGUAGGGGAUCACGGAAUUCCUGGUGUAGCGGUGAAAUGCGGAGAUAUCAGGAGGAACACCGAUGGCGAAGGCAGUGAUCUGGGCCGAUACUGACACUGAGGCGCGAAAGCGUGGGGAGCGAACAGG